UUCAUAUAGUAUCAUAGAUCUUCAUACUACAAUGCAAUAACUUAUGUGGAGGAACAGGAAAAAACACUAUAUACACUAACAAUGAAGUUUCCACAUGCCGGCUGACUUGACACAUUGCACAGAUUUCCCUAUCAUGCUUCAUUCAAUCCUUCAAGAAUCUGAUAUCAAAGAGACGCUAUUGCCAUCGCCUGUUUCUUCCCUUCAUGAUCUUUUAUUUCCUUUGAAGUCGGCAUGGAAUUCAGGUUUCUGAGGAGAGAGUGGUUGAGAGUAUUAUCACGUAUCACGGGCCGGUGGGGAAGGUAGAGAAGGGUGGAGUGGAGGAGACGGGCAGAUGGGUCUCAGGGCAUGAUCUUACCGUUAGUCUGCGUCCAGUUCCUGCAGAUCUACAGUCUAGCAGUUGAUCUGUGUUCUAAGUCUUCUCCCAGCAUGUAGCAGUCACCACACAGCCCGCCGCAGGAUGUUCUGAAGAGAAGAGUGUGCUGACACUCAUCUUGCUCAGCUCUCCAUUUGUCACGAGGCAUCCUGAGGGCGAGAUAACCUUGGCAACACAGGGAUGAGGCGACGAUGAUGAAUGACGAUGCCGGAUGACAGUGACGUACAGUAGAGACGACAUAACAGAAGCUCAGGCCAAUAAGAUGUUGAUGUCAUCAUACACCAAAAUAGCCUCAAGUUUAUCGCCUUUGUCUUCCUCCGUCUCUGUAAUGUAAUGGGAAGUUGAUUUAUUAGAGAAGAAUAAAACUCAUCUUUAUCA
Molecule: long non-coding RNA, 751 nt
Organism: Portunus trituberculatus (swimming crab)
Lineage: Eukaryota; Metazoa; Arthropoda; Malacostraca; Decapoda; Portunidae
Exons: 2
Source: RefSeq, a predicted model, not a curated record